AGUGGAUGGGGAGCAACCUAGUUGUGCGUGUGUAAAGGUAGUGCCAAGAAAAGCGGUGAUCAUGAUGAAAAUCAAUUCCCGGUACCCGAAACCGACACAGGUGGGCAAGUAGAGAAUACUAAGGGGCGCGGGGUAACUCUCUCCAAGGAACUCGGCAAAAUGACCCCGUAACUUAGGGAGAAGGGGUGCCACCGAGAGGUGGUCGCAGUGAAGAGGCCCAGGCGACUGUUUAGCAAAAACAUAGGUCUCUGCAAACUCGAAAGAGGAGGUAUAGGGGCUGACGCCUGCCCAGUGCCGGAAGGUUAAAGAAGUUGGUCAGUCUUAGGAUGAAGCUAGCGACUGAAGCCCCGGUGAACGGCGGCCGUAACUAUAACGGUCCUAAGGUAGCGAAAUUCCUUGUCGGGUAAGUUCCGACCCGCACGAAAGGCGUAACGAUCUGGGCGCUGUCUCGGAGAGAGGCUCGGCGAAAUAGGAUUGUCUGUGAAGAUACGGACUACCUGCAUUUGGACAGAAAGACCCUAUGAAGCUUUACUAUAGCUUGGAAUUGUGUUCGGGCUUCCUGUGCGCAGGAUAGGUGGGAGGCGUAGAAGGUAUUCUUGUGGGGAUACUGGAGCCAACGGUGAGAUACCACUCUCAGGAGGCUAGAAUUCUAACUUAAUUAAGGACAGUUUCAGGUAGGUAGUUUGACUGGGGCGGUCGCCUCCAAAAAGGUAACGGAGGCGUACAAAGGUUCCCUCAGACUGGUUGGAAAUCAGUCGAAGAGUGCAAAGGCAGAAGGGAGCUUGACUGCGAGAAGUACAGUUCGAGCAGGGUGGAAACACGGUCUUAGUGAUCCGACGGUGCUGUGUGGAAGGGCCGUCGCUCAACGGAUAAAAGUUACUCUAGGAUAACAGGCUGAUCUCCCCCAAGAGUUCACAUCGACGGGGAGGUUUGGCACCUCGAUGUCGGCUCAUCGCAACCUGGGGCGGAAGUACGUCCCAAGGGUUGGGCUGUUCGCCCAUUAAAGCGGUACGUGAGCUGGGUUCAGAACGUCGUGAGACAGUUCGGUCCAUAUCCGAUGUAGGCGUGAGAAUAUUGAGAGGAGCCUUCCUUAGUACGAGAGGACCGGGAAGGACGCACCGCUGGUGUACCUGUUAUGAUGCCAAUUGUAAACGCAGGGUAGCCAAGUGCGGAGAGGAUAACCGCUGAAAGCAUCUAAGUGGGAAGCCCACCUCAAGAUGAGUAUUCUGGUGUAAGGUCACGGGAAGACGACCCGUAAAUAGGCACGAGGUGGAAGUGCAGAGAUGUAUGAAGCCGAAGUGUACUAAUAGACCGUCGGCUUGAC
RNAcentral lists this ribosomal RNA (1324 nucleotides) under metagenome. RNAcentral describes it as "bacterial LSU rRNA". It matches the Rfam family "Bacterial large subunit ribosomal RNA", at positions 1561 to 2925 of the family's 2925-position model. The record is from RNAcentral.